Molecule: ribosomal RNA, 438 nt
Filed under: uncultured bacterium
Lineage: Bacteria
Description: bacterial SSU rRNA
Rfam family: Bacterial small subunit ribosomal RNA
Source: RNAcentral
AACGCGAAGAACCUUACCUGGGUUUGAACUGCAGUGGACCGGUACAGAAAUGUACCUUCUCUUCGGAGCCGCUGUGGAGGUGCUGCAUGGCUGUCGUCAGCUCGUGUCGUGAGAUGUUGGGUUAAGUCCCGCAACGAGCGCAACCCUUGUCCUGUGUUGCCAUCAUUAAGUUGGGCACUCUCAGGAGACCGCCAGCGAUAAGCUGGAGGAAGGUGGGGAUGAUGUCAAGUCAUCAUGGCCUUUAUGUCCAGGGCUACACACGUGCUACAAUGGCCGGUACAAAGCGCUGCAAACUCGCAAGAGGGAGCUAAUCGCAAAAAACCGGUCUCAGUUCGGAUCGCAGGCUGCAACUCGCCUGCGUGAAGCUGGAAUCGCUAGUAAUGCCGUAUCAGAACGAUGGCGUGAAUACGUUCCCGGGCCUUGUACACACCGGUACUA